RNAcentral lists this ribosomal RNA (451 nucleotides) under uncultured bacterium. Its description in RNAcentral is "partial 16S ribosomal RNA". It matches the Rfam family "Bacterial small subunit ribosomal RNA", at positions 354 to 796 of the family's 1533-position model. The record is from RNAcentral.
GUGGGGAAUAUUGGACAAUGGGGGGAACCCUGAUCCAGCCAUGCCGCGUGUGUGAAGAAGGCCUUUUGGUUGUAAAGCACUUUAAGCGAGGAGGAGGCUACCGAGAUUAAUACUCUUGGAUAGUGGACGUUACUCGCAGAAUAAGCACCGGCUAACUCUGUGCCAGCAGCCGCGGUAAUACAGAGGGUGCAAGCGUUAAUCGGAUUUACUGGGCGUAAAGCGCGCGUAGGUGGCCAAUUAAGUCAAAUGUGAAAUCCCCGAGCUUAACUUGGUAAUUGCAUUCGAUACUGGUUGGCUAGAGUAUGGGAGAGGAUGGUAGAAUUCCAGGUGUAGCGGUGCAAUGCGUAGAGAUCUGGAGGAAUACCGAUGGCGAAGGCAGCCAUCUGGCCUAAUACUGACACUGAGGUGCGAAAGCAUGGGGAGCAAACAGGAUUAGAUACCCGGGUAGUCC